Molecule: long non-coding RNA, 1016 nt
Filed under: Heterocephalus glaber (naked mole-rat)
Lineage: Eukaryota; Metazoa; Chordata; Mammalia; Rodentia; Bathyergidae
Description: lncRNA (ENSHGLG00100052611.1)
Source: RNAcentral
GUUAGAUAAUCAGGCAGCUAAAAGCUGCAAUAAACGAUAGACUUAUUUUUAGUCAUAGGAAAUGGACCUCUAUGCAUUAGCAGUUAGAAGGAAAUCAUACCCUUUUUGAACUACAAAAACUGCCUUGAAUUUUUCCCCUAUGUGUCUCCUUUAAAUAUUUUAGGGAACUUAUAAGUUUAUUUUCUAACCAAGAAAGCACUUAGGUCUCUUUAAGAAGCAGUAAUUUUUCAUAACCUCAGAUUGAAUAACCCACUUUGCUGUGCAGCCUACAUCCCACUGGAGAAAAAAGAAAGAAAGGGGAGAGAACGUGAAAGGAGAAGUGGAGAGAAGCUGGAGAAGAAGAAAUAGCUGGAAGCUUGGGAAUUGGGGGAUUUACCUAAGGCUGACCAGUUUCCUGGUGUGUUACCUGCUUCUGCUACUGAUCCAAACUGCAGAACUUAUUCAUCCCCAUGGCCUCCAGACAGUAUCCAAUGGGGAAUCCGAUCUAAAAGGAACCAGACCUACGUUUUCCAGCCCUUCAUUCUGUAACAACUACUAUCGAGGAAAGGAUAGAAAACGUUCAGGACAUCAUCAUAUAGACUCCUCAUCUACAAAGUUCAGUAACGGUGACGCCUACACAGAAGACUUGGAACUGCAAACAGGCUGGGGUCACCUCAGUGACAUCUCUUGAUGCACAAACAGAAGUUUGAUUUUUGUUUCGGGGGUGCAGAAGGAAGCAGACUGUAGUAAAACACUAAAGUAAUUUUAUGUCUAUACUUUCUCACUUGUUUUUUUUUUGUUUGUGGUUAUUUUGGCGGGAGAGGGAGGGUUUGGGGAUAGAAUUUCACUUCAUGUCUGGAGUGAAGGGGAGAGGGGGAAGCUCAGCCCUUCACCCAAGAAUAACCCAGUAAUGACAUCUUUAUGCGUGGGAAGUGUUUCCCUCCACACUGGGAGGAUCUAAGGCUGCACCCCAGUGGGACUCCCUGCUUGAGUUGGAAGGCCGUCCAGAGGGCGAUGGCAAGUCUUAGCGGAGCGCC